This 341-nucleotide long non-coding RNA is filed under the name Aquila chrysaetos chrysaetos. Its description in RNAcentral is "lncRNA (ENSACCG00020004849.1)". Lineage: Eukaryota; Metazoa; Chordata; Aves; Accipitriformes; Accipitridae. The record is from RNAcentral.
CAGCCCUGCCCGCCUCCUGCCGCGCCGGCGGGGGCUGGGCGUGCGCGGCCGCGGCGGGCACCUGCACCCGCGCGGCGGGGCCGGGGAAAUGGAUGCGCGUCGCGCUGCUUAAAGGACGCGGGCUGAGGCGGGAAAAUGAAUCUGGAAGAAAAUUGGUGAAUCCAAUCCAGUGGACCUACAAGCACUCUGACAGGCUCAGAGAGCAGAGUCUGGACCAAAGAGCAAUUACCCCACCAAACGAUUUCAGACAGAUUCUGCUACAUGAAACCAUACUUUGGGAUGUUGCACGGAUGCAACCUCAGAAUUCAGCACUGAAAUGAGACCUACUGGUUAUUUGAGUU